RNAcentral lists this ribosomal RNA (253 nucleotides) under uncultured bacterium. Its description in RNAcentral is "partial 16S ribosomal RNA". It matches the Rfam family "Bacterial small subunit ribosomal RNA", at positions 524 to 776 of the family's 1533-position model. The record is from RNAcentral.
UACGUAGGUGGCAAGCGUUGUCCGGAUUUACUGGGCGUAAAGGGCUUGUAGGCUGUCCGUUAAGUCUGAUGUGAAAUCUCCCGGCUCAACUGGGAGGGGUCAUUGGAUACUGGCGGACUUGAGGUAGGUAGAGGAAAGCAGAAUUCCUGGUGUAGCGGUGAAAUGCGUAGAUAUCAGGAGGAAUACCAGUGGCGAAGGCGGCUUUCUGGGCCUAUCCUGACGCUGAGGAGCGAAAGCGUGGGGAGCAAACCGG